RNAcentral lists this ribosomal RNA (459 nucleotides) under uncultured bacterium. RNAcentral's name for it is "partial 16S ribosomal RNA". It matches the Rfam family "Bacterial small subunit ribosomal RNA", at positions 338 to 795 of the family's 1533-position model. The record is from RNAcentral.
CCUACGGGUGGCAGCAGUGAGGAAUAUUGGUCAAUGGACGCAAGUCUGAACCAGCCAAGCCGCGUGCAGGAAGACGGCCCUAUGAGUUGUAAACUGCUUUUGUACGAGGGUAAAUCCCUACACGUGUAUCGGGCUGCAGGUAACGUGCGAAUAAGGAUCGGCUAACUCCGUGCCAGCAGCCGCGGUAAUACGGAGGGUGCGAGCGUUAUCCGGAUUGAUUGGGGUUAAAGGGUGCGUAGGCGGGACGUCAAGUCAGCGGUAAAAUUGCGGUGCUCAACGGCGUCGCGCCGUUGAAACUGGCGUUCUUGAGUGGGCGAGAGGUAGGCGGAAUGCGUGGUGUAGCGGUGAAAUGCAUAGAUAUCACGCAGAACUCCGAUUGCGAAGGCAGCCUACCGGCGCCCUACUGACGCUGAGGCUCGAAAGUGUGGGUAUCGAACAGGAUUAGAUACCCUGGUAGUC